CCGUUAGCUCAGUUGGUCAGAGCAGAGGACUCAUAAUCCUUUGGUCAUUGGUUCAAG
RNAcentral lists this transfer RNA (57 nucleotides) under Skeletonema dohrnii. Its description in RNAcentral is "partial tRNA". It matches the Rfam family "tRNA", at positions 8 to 57 of the family's 71-position model. Rfam says of the family: Transfer RNA (tRNA) molecules are approximately 80 nucleotides in length. Their secondary structure includes four short double-helical elements and three loops (D, anti-codon, and T loops). The record is from RNAcentral. Lineage: Eukaryota; Bacillariophyta; Thalassiosirophyceae; Thalassiosirales; Thalassiosiraceae.